GUUUUGCUGUCGAUCAACGGAUACAUUUAUAGUUUUGCUUGCAGCAAAACAAAGUAACUUUUAUGUGCGACAUCGAACCACCAAUCCACCUCAGAACCAUGUCCUGUCGACACUCUCACCAAGGACGGUUUUAUAUGAUGUAUGCGGCGUGCGGAGUGAGUGGCAAACGAUACUUCAUCUAAGCUGCUCAUCGUUUUCUUCCUCUACUGCGGUAUCGGAAUCGUAACAUCGUAAAUAUGGCCCCAGCGACCUAUUUCUAUUGUUGCGACAAAUGUCAGCACGCGUCGUACGAAUCAUCGGUGGUAUGCUGCCCGAAGAACAAAGCUGUGAACCCACAGCCCGAUUGCACGAUCAGCACAGUUACAGCACAGCGUAAGGUUCAACAUCUGGGGCUCACGUUGAGCUAACAGCACGGCACCGUCAACGACACGAUCGGUCACCCAACGCCAUGCCCGUCGAAUGAUCCGCCCUCCACCGACCAAUCUGCUGACGCCGAUGGGCGCCCAAUCGCGCAACUCGGAAACAGAAUCUGCCUCAACCCCACGACCGUGACAUUACUAUUAGAUAAUAAAAGUGCGA
Molecule: long non-coding RNA, 579 nt
Organism: Anopheles arabiensis
Lineage: Eukaryota; Metazoa; Arthropoda; Insecta; Diptera; Culicidae
Exons: 4
Source: RefSeq, a predicted model, not a curated record